Molecule: ribosomal RNA, 1101 nt
Filed under: Cophyla sp. PT404
Lineage: Eukaryota; Metazoa; Chordata; Amphibia; Anura; Microhylidae
Description: partial 16S ribosomal RNA
Rfam family: Bacterial large subunit ribosomal RNA
Source: RNAcentral
AUUAACAGAAUGUAACUUCUUUAGAAUAGAGGUGAUACACCUACCGAGCUUAGAGAUAGCUGGUUAUUCAAGAAAAGGAUUUUAGUCCAUCUUUAAGUUUCCUCAGUUUUGUAAAACAUCUAAUAAACUUAAAAGUCAUUCAAAUAAGGGACAGCUUAUUUGAAAAAGGGCACAGCCUAUGACUCAGGGUAAUGACCUUCUCUCGUGACCAAGUUAGCCUUAAAGCAGCUACCUUUCAAAAAGCGUCCAAGCUUCAUCACAAAACCUUAUUAAUCCCACAAUCAACUCACAACCCCCAACCAUUACUGAAUAAUCUUAUAAUGUAUAAGAACUAUUAUGCUAGAACGAGUAACAAGAAGAAGACCUUCUCCAUAAUGUAAAUGUAAGCCAAAAUGAACACUCACCGGCACUUACCGCCAUAACCCUACAGUAUUAACAUCUCAGGAAAAAAAUACUUUACCCGACGUUAACCUUACACAAGCACAUUCCCGGAAAGAUUAAAAAAGGAGGAAGGAACUCGGCAAACGAUAGCCCCGCCUGUUUACCAAAAACAUCGCCUCUUGACUAAGUAUAAGAGGUCCAGCCUGCCCAGUGAUAUAUUAAACGGCCGCGGUACCCUAACCGUGCGAAGGUAGCACAAUCACUUGUUCUAUAAAUCAGGACUAGUAUGAACGGCCUCACGAGAGCUAUACUGUCUCCCUCCUUUAAUCAGUGAAACUGAUCUCCCCGUGAAGAAGCGGGGAUAUUAAUAUAAGACGAGAAGACCCCAUGGAGCUUUAAACUUGUACCACUGCCCUUACUACACCAAUUAAUUUAGGCACCAAUGACUACGAGUCUUUUGGCUGGGGCGACCACGAAGAAAAACUAAACCUUCAUGACGAAAGGAGCAAUCCUAAUUGGAGAGCUACUGCUCAAAGAAUCAAUAAACUGACCCAUUGACCCAAACAUUUUGACCCACGAACCAAGUUACCCUGGGGAUAACAGCGCAAUCCAUUUUAAGAGACCCCAUCAACAAAUGGGCUUACGACCUCGAUGUUGGAUCAGGGUAUCCUAGUGGUGCAGCCGCUACUAAAGGUUCGUUUGUUCAACGAUUAAAACCCU